AGGUGUAGUGCUUACCCAGCUAAUGGUUGCUAUGCAUUGUGAAGACAUCAGGAUCACUAUAUACACUCACAGUGAGCUCCAUAGAAUGUGGUGCUAGCGUGAAUCCCAACCGAGGAUUAACUAGCUUAAAGGGACACUCUAGUCACCAGAACAAUUACAGCGUAAUGUAGUUGUUCUGGUGUCUAUAGACAGUCUCUGCAGGCUUUUUGCAGUAAACUCUGUUUGUUUGAC
Molecule: non-coding RNA, 231 nt
Organism: Pelobates cultripes (western spadefoot toad)
Lineage: Eukaryota; Metazoa; Chordata; Amphibia; Anura; Pelobatidae
Source: the annotation of a GenBank genome assembly